This 497-nucleotide ribosomal RNA is filed under the name uncultured bacterium. RNAcentral's name for it is "partial 16S ribosomal RNA". It matches the Rfam family "Bacterial small subunit ribosomal RNA", at positions 28 to 507 of the family's 1533-position model. The record is from RNAcentral.
GAUGAACGCUGGCGGCGUGCCUAAUACAUGCAAGUCGAGCGAACAGACGAGGAGCUUGCUCCUCUGACGUUAGCGGCGGACGGGUGAGUAACACGUGGAUAACCUACCUAUAAGACUGGGAUAACUUCGGGAAACCGGAGCUAAUACCGGAUAAUAUAUUGAACCGCAUGGUUCAAUAGUGAAAGACGGUUUUGCUGUCACUUAUAGAUGGAUCCGCGCCGCAUUAGCUAGUUGGUAAGGUAACGGCUUACCAAGGCAACGAUGCGUAGCCGACCUGAGAGGGUGAUCGGCCACACUGGAACUGAGACACGGUCCAGACUCCUACGGGGGGCAGCAGUAGGGAAUCUUCCGCAAUGGGCGAAAGCCUGACGGAGCAACGCCGCGUGAGUGAUGAAGGUCUUCGGAUCGUAAAACUCUGUUAUUAGGGAGGAACAAAUGUGUAAGUAACUAUGCACGUCUUGACGGUACCUAAUCAGAAAGCCACGGCUAACUACGUG